This 95-nucleotide non-coding RNA is filed under the name Vitreoscilla massiliensis. RNAcentral describes it as "Ribosomal S15 leader". It matches the Rfam family "Ribosomal S15 leader", at positions 22 to 116 of the family's 117-position model. From Rfam's summary of the family: The E. coli Ribosomal S15 gene 5' UTR can form two alternative structures. One that is a series of three hairpins, The other includes a pseudoknot. This structure causes translational regulation of the S15 protein. The record is from RNAcentral. Lineage: Bacteria; Pseudomonadati; Pseudomonadota; Betaproteobacteria; Neisseriales; Neisseriaceae.
CGGGUUUGAAUACCCAUUUUAUAUUUUGGAGCAUUACAAAUGGCAUUAACCGUAGAACAAAAAGCACAAAUCGUUAAAGAUUUCCAACGCAAAGA